RNAcentral lists this ribosomal RNA (207 nucleotides) under uncultured bacterium. RNAcentral describes it as "partial 16S ribosomal RNA". It matches the Rfam family "Bacterial small subunit ribosomal RNA", at positions 568 to 773 of the family's 1533-position model. The record is from RNAcentral.
CUCGUAGGCGGCCAACUAAGUCAGACGUGAAAUCCCUCAGCUUAACUGGGGAACUGCGUCUGAUACUGGAUGGCUUGGAUUCGGGAGAGGAAUGCGGAGUUCCAGGUGUAGCGGUGAAAUGCGUAGAUAUCUGGAGGAACACCGGUGGCGAAGGCGGCAUUCUGGACCGAUAUUGACGCUGAGGAGCGAAAGCCAGGGGAAGCAAAC